Oxyura jamaicensis (ruddy duck) is the source of this 133-nucleotide long non-coding RNA. RefSeq lists it as uncharacterized. The record is from RefSeq and is a predicted model, not a curated record. Lineage: Eukaryota; Metazoa; Chordata; Aves; Anseriformes; Anatidae. The transcript is spliced from 3 exons.
CCUGUGGAGGUUCUGGACCCAAAGGUGCAUGAGGCAGCACGGUGGGUGAGGCGCUCUCUGCACAGCUUUUCUCCUCGGGGCCACCAGCUGGGCGCUGCCCUUCACAGCUCCUCUCUGUGCCUGGGAGCAGCUG